Molecule: ribosomal RNA, 393 nt
Filed under: uncultured bacterium
Lineage: Bacteria
Description: partial 16S ribosomal RNA
Rfam family: Bacterial small subunit ribosomal RNA
Source: RNAcentral
CUACGGAGGAUCCGAGCGUUAUCCGGAUUUAUUGGGUUUAAAGGGAGCGUAGGUGGACAGUUAAGUCAGUUGUGAAAGUUUGCGGCUCAACCGUAGAAUUGCAGUUGAUACUGGCUGUCUUGAGUACAGUAGAGGUGGGCGGAAUUCGUGGUGUAGCGGUGAAAUGCUUAGAUAUCACGAAGAACUCCGAUUGCGAAGGCAGCUCACUGGACUGCAACUGACACUGAUGCUCGAAAGUGUGGGUAUCAAACAGGAUUAGAUACCCUGGUAGUCCACACAGUAAACGAUGAAUACUCGCUGUUUGCGAUAUACAGUAAGCGGCCAAGCGAAAGCAUUAAGUAUUCCACCUGGGGAGUACGCCGGCAACGGUGAAACUUAAAGGAAUUGACGGGG